Mustela erminea (ermine) is the source of this 1547-nucleotide long non-coding RNA. RefSeq lists it as uncharacterized. The record is from RefSeq and is a predicted model, not a curated record. Lineage: Eukaryota; Metazoa; Chordata; Mammalia; Carnivora; Mustelidae. The transcript is spliced from 2 exons.
GCUUGCGGAGCCCCUGGAUGGCCCUGGCGUUGGCCUGGGACUGGGAGACGCAGACGGUCAGGACAAGGCUUUGGACAGACGGAGAUCCAAGGUGACAUCCCAAGGCGCAGUCCAGGCCUACCUGCCUCUGGGCCCACGCUCCGCCCCUGGGACCCUGCCUCCCUGCCUGUCCUCGUCUGGCUCCCGUGAGGUCCCGUGAGACUGCCCGGGGGUGCCCAUCGAAGGAAGGGCCCCCUCCCAGGUGUGCCCUCCCUCGGCCCCUGCUGCCCUGAGAGGCACCUGAGUAGGAUGAGGCAGGGGAAGCUGAAGGCGUGGGAGCCGAGGUAGUGGAGGGCGCGCUGGGCAGGGGGCGGCAGCCGGAGGGCCACCAGCUGUGGGACCACCUGCCAGGGGGCCGAAUAGUUGGCGAAGAGGCCACAGUCCCAGGAGGAGUGGAUGCUGGGGAGAGAGAGCCAGGGCAGGGCUGGCAGCAGGGCCCCCGGGCAGGAGCUCCCUGCCCACCAGCCGCAGGCGCCUCUGCCGCUCUCACCUGCUGACCACAUAGCCCAGGGGCACGACGGCCAGGAGCAGGCCCAGGAGGAGCACCAGCUGGAAGAAGAAGGUGAGGCUGGAGGCGCGGAGCCGCCUUGGAGAGGCCCUGGAGUUCCUCAUGAGGGUGUACUGGGGGGCAAGCAACGGCAAAUGGGGGUCCUUAGCCAGUCGCAGAUGCCAAGGAGCCCGAGGCCCGGGGAAGGGACCCCGAGGGGGCGGGCCGAAGCGGGGCCUGAGCCCCGCCCCGCUGACAGGGGCUCCACGCCCCCUCCCCAGCCGGUGUCGCUCACCUUCUUGAUGUAGAAGGUGAGGAAGAUGAAGACGCUGUUGAGCAGGGGCAGCAGCGGGCAGUAAAAGAGGCCCAUCCAGGUGAUCGUCUGCCCCGCCACGAUGUCCAGGACAUUCUUGGGCACCAGGAAUUCUUCCCGGUCCAGCCAGGUCCAGAAGCGGCCCGAGAACCGCUCCACCAGCAGCCUGGGGGCGGGGAGCGUCCCCGCACCACAUCAGUCACGACCAGGGACCGACCGCGCCCCACCGGCUUCCACGGAGACCCAUGGGAAGAACCGCUCACCCUUGGCUCGGCCAGCGGCCACCCCCAGACAAGCCCCGUCCCCCCCACCGUGGGUGUCCCCAGGCCUCACCUCCUCGGCAGGCUGACGAAGAAGGCAAAGGCCACCAUGAGGAGGAAGUUGAAGAUACUCAGCUUGUACAGCUCUUCCCCGACCGCGUUCUCCCAGCACUGGAGCAGAGGGGGACCUGUCACCCCUGGCCCCCAGCCGCCCCUCCCCCACCCGCGGGGUGGGGGGCCCUGUGGUGGCGGAGCCAGGCCAGAGUCUGACAUGGCUACUGAGUUAGAACCCGGGCCUCCGGGGUGAGAUCCGAGCAGGGAAACCCCACAGCGAGCGCGCGGUGUGCUGUGAAGGUGCCCCCUGGAGGUGUGCUGCCCACGCACAAAGGGGACCCUGGAGAGGGGCGGGAGGGACAGGCUUGGAUGGAGCCACCAGCCACCUGGUAAU